GCAAAGGUGAAUUAUUUUUAAUAAUCUUCUAUGUAAACAUUUUAUUACCUUCUAGUUUUAAUUUGUUUUACAGAUUGUUACAAGUGAUUUUAUGCUCUUUUAAACAUUUAUAAAUGUGCUGCUUCUUUGUUUUUAUAGAGCUCACAGCCUCAGUGUCUUGUGACACAGGGACCAUGACAGAAAUUCAUCUUCCAGAAGGUCCCAGAGCAUCCACACCCCCUGAAAAGACCACGGUGUGAGGUGUCUGCUGUUGAUUCCAGCUUCCACCUCAGUGACAGUGCAAGCUCAGUGAACUGUUCAAGGAGGCUACUGAUUCUGGCCCUGUGACACUUGGUGGUCACCACCAGGUGGUGACGUGUGAGCUGAUUCACCUGGACACUCAGCAAAAUAUGGACUCUACACCAUGAGGCAGGCACACGUUAAUAACUCUAUAAGAGUACAUAAGCCUGGCUGAUCACCUGAUAACUCAUGUUAUCUGGUUAUGACAGCAUGAGGAUGUCCUCACACACCUGUAACCUACCAGCUCAUCUGGCAGAAUAGAGAGAGAAGAGACAACACCACAUCUCCUGUUCCUGGAAAGCCUUCAGCCAUCCUUCGAUGACUGAGAACCUCCAUCAGCUCUGUCUCCUGUCUGCCUACAAUUAUUAUAAUAAAUAUUGUGUUUGACAAGUU
Molecule: non-coding RNA, 672 nt
Organism: Nothobranchius furzeri (turquoise killifish)
Lineage: Eukaryota; Metazoa; Chordata; Actinopteri; Cyprinodontiformes; Nothobranchiidae
Source: RefSeq, a predicted model, not a curated record